GACGAACGCUGGCGGCGUGCCUAAUACAUGCAAGUAGAACGCUGAAGGAGGGGCUUGCUUCUCUGGAUGAGUUGCGAACGGGUGAGUAACGCGUGGUAACCUGCCUGGUAGCGGGGGAUAACUAUUGGAAACGAUAGCUAAUACCGCAUAAUAGUAGAUGUCGCAUGACAUUUGCUUAAAAGGUGCAAUUGCAUCACUACCAGAUGGACCUGCGUUGUAUUAGCUAGUUGGUGAGGUAACGGCUCACCAAGGCAACGAUACAUAGCCGACCUGAGAGGGUGAUCGGCCACACUGGGACUGAGACACGGUCCAGACUCCUACGGGAGGCAGCAGUAGGGAAUCUUCGGCAAUGGACGGAAGUCUGACCGAGCAACGCCGCGUGAGUGAAGAAGGUUUUCGGAUCGUAAAGCUCUGUUGUAAGAGAAGAACGAGUGUGAGAGUGGAAAGUUCACACUGUGACGGUAUCUUACCAGAAAGGGACGGCUAACUACGUG
Molecule: ribosomal RNA, 494 nt
Filed under: uncultured bacterium
Lineage: Bacteria
Description: partial 16S ribosomal RNA
Rfam family: Bacterial small subunit ribosomal RNA
Source: RNAcentral